RNAcentral lists this ribosomal RNA (1484 nucleotides) under uncultured prokaryote. RNAcentral's name for it is "partial 16S ribosomal RNA". It matches the Rfam family "Bacterial small subunit ribosomal RNA". The record is from RNAcentral.
AGAGUUUGAUCCUGGCUCAGGAUUAACGCUAGCGGCAGGCCUAAUACAUGCAAGUCGAACGGGAUCAGUUGUAGCAAUAUGGCUGUGAGAGUGGCGCACGGGUGAGUAACACGUAUGCAACCUACCUCUAACUGGGGAAUAGCCUUCCGAAAGGAAGAUUAAUACCGCAUAAUAUUAUGAAGAGACAUCUCUUUAUAAUCAAACUUUUAAGGGUUAGAGAUGGGCAUGCGUCCGAUUAGUUUGUUGGUGAGGUAACGGCUCACCAAGACUACAAUCGGUAGGGGGUCUGAGAGGAUGAUCCCCCACACUGGUACUGAGACACGGACCAGACUCCUACGGGAGGCAGCAGUGAGGAAUAUUGGACAAUGGAGGAGACUCUGAUCCAGCCAUGCCGCGUGCAGGAAGACGGCCCUAUGGGUUGUAAACUGCUUUUAUACAGGAAGAAACCACCCCACGUGUGGGGAGCUGACGGUACUGUAAGAAUAAGCACCGGCUAACUCCGUGCCAGCAGCCGCGGUAAUACGGAGGGUGCAAGCGUUAUCCGGAAUCAUUGGGUUUAAAGGGUCCGUAGGCGGCUUAUUAAGUCAGAGGUGAAAUCCUGCAGCUCAACUGUAGAACUGCCAUUGAAACUGUUAAUCUUGAGUAUAGUUGAGGUAGGCGGAAUAUACCAUGUAGCGGUGAAAUGCGUAGAUAUGAUAUAGAACACCAAUUGCGAAGGCAGCUUACUAAAUUAUAACUGACGCUGAGGCACGAAAGCGUGGGUAGCGAACAGGAUUAGAUACCCUGGUAGUCCACGCCCUAAACGAUGAUUACUCGAUAUUGGCGAUACACUGUCAGUAUUCUAGCGAAAGUGUUAAGUAAUCCACCUGGGGAGUACGAUCGCAAGGUUGAAACUCAAAGGAAUUGACGGGGGCCCGCACAAGCGGAGGAGCAUGUGGUUUAAUUCGAUGAUACGCGAGGAACCUUACCUGGGCUUGAAAGUUAGUGACAGUUCCUGAAAGGGAACCAUCAGCAAUGACACGAAACUAGGUGCUGCAUGGCUGUCGUCAGCUCGUGCCGUGAGGUGUUGGGUUAAGUCCCGUAACGAGCGCAACCCCUAUCAUUAGUUGCCAACAGGUUAAGCUGGGGACUCUAAUGAGACUGCCCGCGCAAGCGGUGAGGAAGGUGGGGAUGACGUCAAGUCAUCACGGCCCUUACGUCCAGGGCUACACACGUGCUACAAUGGCAGAUACAGUGGGUGGCUACAUGGCAACAUGAUGCUAAUCUCAAAAGUCUGUCUCAGUUCGGAUUGAGGUCUGCAACUCGACCUCAUGAAGCCGGAUUCGCUAGUAAUCGGAAAUCAGCAAUGUUCCGGUGAAUACGUUCCCGGGCCUUGUACACACCGCCCGUCAAGCCAUGGAAGUUGGGGGUACCUGAAGUCGAUAACCGCAAGGAGUCGCCUAGGGUAAAACCGAUAACUGGGGCUAAGUCGUAACAAGGUAACC